This 357-nucleotide ribosomal RNA is filed under the name uncultured Polaribacter sp. RNAcentral's name for it is "bacterial SSU rRNA". It matches the Rfam family "Bacterial small subunit ribosomal RNA", at positions 135 to 490 of the family's 1533-position model. The record is from RNAcentral. Lineage: Bacteria; Pseudomonadati; Bacteroidota; Flavobacteriia; Flavobacteriales; Flavobacteriaceae.
ACAGAGGAAUAGCCUUUAGAAAUGAAGAUUAAUGCCUCAUAGUAUUGAGUAUUCGCAUGAAUAUUUAAUUAAAGAUUUAUCGGUAAAAGAUGGCUAUGCGUCCUAUUAGUUAGUUGGUAAGGUAACGGCUUACCAAGACAGCGAUAGGUAGGGGUCCUGAGAGGGAGAUCCCCCACACUGGUACUGAGACACGGACCAGACUCCUACGGGAGGCAGCAGUGAGGAAUAUUGGACAAUGGAGGAGACUCUGAUCCAGCCAUGCCGCGUGUAGGAAGAAUGCCCUAUGGGUUGUAAACUACUUUUAUACAGGAAGAAACACUGGUAUGUAUACCAGCUUGACGGUACUGUACUAAUAUG